GCCAAAUGACUGUAGAUAAGCCCU
This 24-nucleotide non-coding RNA is filed under the name Cricetulus griseus (Chinese hamster). The record is from RNAcentral. Lineage: Eukaryota; Metazoa; Chordata; Mammalia; Rodentia; Cricetidae.